GUGCCAGCAGCCGCGGUAAAACGUAGGUCCCGAGCGUUAUCCGGAUUUACUGGGCGUAAAGCGCGUUCAGGCGGCUGCUCAAGUCGGGCAUGAAAUCUCUCGGCUCAACCGGGAGGGGCUGUCCGAAACUGAGCGGCUUGAGGGCAGUAGAGGGUGGUGGAAUUCCGGGUGUAGUGGUGAAAUGCGUAGAGAUCCGGAGGAACACCAGUGGCGAAAGCGGCCACCUGGACUGUACCUGACGCUCAAACGCGAAAGCUAGGGGAGCGAACGGGAUUAGAUACCCUAGUAGUCC
This 292-nucleotide ribosomal RNA is filed under the name uncultured bacterium. Its description in RNAcentral is "partial 16S ribosomal RNA". It matches the Rfam family "Bacterial small subunit ribosomal RNA", at positions 505 to 796 of the family's 1533-position model. The record is from RNAcentral.